Molecule: ribosomal RNA, 253 nt
Filed under: uncultured bacterium
Lineage: Bacteria
Description: partial 16S ribosomal RNA
Rfam family: Bacterial small subunit ribosomal RNA
Source: RNAcentral
UACAGAGGUCUCGAGCGUUAGGCGGAAUCACUGGGCUUAAAGCGUGUGUAGGUGGAUGCCUAAGUACCUUGUGAAAUCCCACAGCUUAACUGUGGAACUGCUUGGUAUACUGGGUGUCUUGAGUCACUCAGGGGCGAGCGGAACAAAUGGUGGAGCGGUGAAAUGCGUAGAUAUCAUUUGGAACGCCAAUGGUGAAAACAGCUCGCUGGGGGUGUACUGACACUGAGACACGAAAGCGUGGGGAGCAAACAGG